GAAAGUAAGAAAGGGCGUAUGGCGGAUGCCUAGGCUCACGGAGGCGAUGAAGGACGUGAUAAGCUGCGAUAAGCUUCGGGUAGGUGCAAAUAACCUUUGAUCCGAAGAUUUCCGAAUGGGACAACCUAGCCGUCUGAAGGACGGCUACUCUUACCAAUGUAAGAGAGCUAACGCAGGGAACUGAAACAUCUUAGUACCUGUAGGAAGAGAAAAUAAAUGAAUGAUUCCCCCAGUAGUGGCGAGCGAACGGGGAACAGCCCAAACCGUUGACGUCGCAAGGCGCCAGCGGGGUUGUAGGACCGCGACAUUGUAUGCAAAUCGUGAACAGAACACUUUGGAAAAUGUGACCAUAGACGGUGAUAGUCCAGUAUGUGAAGCGAAAUGCAGCAUAGCGGUAUCCUGAGUAACGCGGGACACGAGGAAUCCUGCGCGAAUCUGCCGGGACCAUCCGGUAAGGCUAAAUACUCCCGUGAGACCGAUAGCGAACGAGUACUGUGAAGGAAAGGUGAAAAGAACCCCGAGCAGGGGAGUGAAAUAGUUCCUGAAACCAUACGCCUACAAGCGGUCGGAGCAUCUUACGAUGUGACGGCGUGCCUUUUGCAUAAUGAUCCUACGAGUUACCGUCACUGGCGAGGUUGAGUGUCAUGAGACACGUAGCCGCAGUGAAAGCGAGCCUGAAUAGGGCGCAUAGUCAGUGGGGGUAGACGCGAAACCAAGUGAUCUACACUUGGCCAGGAUGAAGUCCCGGUAACACGGGAUGGAGGUCCGCACCAAUAAGCGUUGAAAAGCUUCUGGAUGAGCCGAGUGUAGGAGUGAAAGGCCAAUCAAACUUGGAGAUAGCUCGUACUCCCCGAAAGGCAUUUAGGUGCCGCGUCGGAUGGUCACCGUGAGAGGUAGAGCGACCGAUAGGACAAGAGGGCUUCACCGCCUAUCGAGUCCUGACGAACUCCGAAUGCUCACGGUCUGCAGUCCGGCAGUAAGGGGGCGGGUGCUAAGGUCCGUCCCCGAGAGGAGAAGAAUCCAGACCGCCGUCUAAGGUCCCGGAGUUCUGCCUGAGUUAGUCUAACGAAGUCUGGUCCCUAUGACAGCUAGGAUGUUGGCUUGGAAGCAGCCAUUCAUUCAAAGAGUGCGUAACAGCUCACUAGUCGAGGGUCCGGGCAUGGAUAAUAAUCGGGUAUAAGGCAGACACCGAAGGCGCGGGAUAGCAUUUAAGAAAGUAUCGGUAGGGGAGCAUACUCACAGCGUGGAAUGGUGUACGUAAGUUAUCCUGGAGCGGUGAGUAAAGCAAAUGUAGGAAUAAGUAACGAUAAGGAGGGUUAGAUUCCCUCCCGCUGUAAGACCAAGGUUUCCCGGGCAAUGCCAAUCAGCCCGGGGUCAGUCGGGUCCUAAGUCUAAGCCGAACGGCGAUGGCGAUGGCAGAGACGGUUAAUAUUCCGUCACUGCCGCAUGGGGCGACGUGGAGACGGAGCAGUGAAACCACCGCGGGGCGACGGAAGUCCCCGUUGAAGAGUGUAGGUGUUGAGGAUGGCAGGCAAAUCCACCGUCCGAGCUGAACUUGAUAGUAUGGAGUCUUCUUCGGAAGAAUCCAAUAGUGUGGGUAAUCAUACUCCCGAGAAAAUCCGCUAAGCUUAACCCAUGCGGCACCCGUACCGCAAACGGACACACGUGGUCGGGUAGAACAUACUAAGGCGUUGAGAGAUUCAUGGUUAAGGAACUAGGCAAAUUGACCCUGUAACUUCGGGAUAAAGGGUCCUCGUGAUGAGCGAGGCGCAGAGAAUAGGUCCAGGCAACUGUUUAACAAAAACACAGGGCUGUGCAAACUCGAAAGAUGACGUAUACAGCCUGACACCUGCCCGGUGCCGGAAGGUUAAGAGGAGAUGUCACACUUAUGUGGAAGCAUUGAAUUGAAGCCCCGGUAAACGGCGGCCGUAACAAUAACGGUCCUAAGGUAGCGAAAUUCCUUGUCGGGUAAGUUCCGACCUGCACGAAUGG
RNAcentral lists this ribosomal RNA (1992 nucleotides) under human gut metagenome. Its description in RNAcentral is "bacterial LSU rRNA". It matches the Rfam family "Bacterial large subunit ribosomal RNA", at positions 1 to 1999 of the family's 2925-position model. The record is from RNAcentral.